GCUCGCUCUACAUAAUAAAGGAGGGCUUCCUUGGCACAAGCGUUAGUCUCGCCUUUCCUAAGGGCUCACUUCUCAUCCCAAAGGUCAACAGAGUGAUCAGCACCUUAAGGGAAUCGGGCAUCCUGCUACGUCUAUACAGUGCUGCCCUUGGGAAUGCCUCGCACUGCAUGGAGCCCGUUACAAGCUCCACAACCAGUGACAUCCAGCUGAGGCCCCUCGAACUGAAAGACUUCUUCGGUGUUGUCUCUGUUUGCAGUGGAGGAAUGCUCCUGGCGCUACAGAUCUUUCUUCUAGAGAUUGUGUUCUUCUCAACUUCACGGUUACGAAGAAUCUGAGCACUUCUGAAGUUUGUGCCAUAAUACAAAUUUAAUACCAGGCAGUUGAAUGUAAACUAUAAACUAACAUUUCCUGUCAUAGUAAA
This is a long non-coding RNA of Scylla paramamosain (green mud crab), 421 nucleotides long. RefSeq lists it as uncharacterized. The record is from RefSeq and is a predicted model, not a curated record. NCBI's taxonomy places the organism in Eukaryota, Metazoa, Arthropoda, Malacostraca, Decapoda, Portunidae. The transcript is spliced from 3 exons.